RNAcentral lists this long non-coding RNA (410 nucleotides) under Elaeis guineensis (African oil palm). RNAcentral's name for it is "long non-coding RNA (EGUI_LNC009514)". The record is from RNAcentral. Lineage: Eukaryota; Viridiplantae; Streptophyta; Magnoliopsida; Arecales; Arecaceae.
CAUCAAGUUCUCUCCUUCCUCACAUAUCUCCGAAAAAGGAUGAAAUAAACAGAACAUAGAGCAAAAAUAACCAAAUAAAUGAUCAAUGUGGAUAUAGAUCAUACCUUCUAAUAAAUCAGAGAGGAGCUGAGGGAGCCAUCCGCCCGCAUGCACAAGAAAGAGAAAGAGGAGCGGGACUUAUGGCGGCUAGAGAACUCGAGGUAGCGAGAGAGGAGGAAAGGGAGGUCAGAGGUCUCCGGAUAGAGAGAGAGGGGAAGGAGGGAGGUUGCCUGCAUGAGAAAGAGAAAGAGGAGUGAGACUCGGGGCGACUGGAGAACUCGAGACAAUGAGGAGAUGAGGGAGGUUGGAGGUCUCGGGUGCUCUUGGGUCUUAGAGAUCAUAUAAGUGAUCGUCCUACCAUAGAGCAACCC